GUGCCAGCAGCCGCGGUAAUACGGAGGAUCCAAGCGUUAUCCGGAAUCAUUGGGUUUAAAGGGUCCGUAGGCGGUCUUAUAAGUCAGUGGUGAAAGCCCAUCGCUCAACGAUGGAACUGCCAUUGAUACUGUAAGACUUGAAUGCUUAGGAAGUAACUAGAAUAUGUAGUGUAGCGGUGAAAUGCUUAGAUAUUACAUGGAAUACCAAUUGCGAAGGCAGGUUACUACUAAGUGAUUGACGCUGAUGGACGAAAGCGUGGGGAGCGAACAGGAUUAGAUACCCUGGUAGUCCACGCCGUAAACGAUGGAUACUAGCUGUUCGGCGCAAGUUGAGUGGCUAAGCGAAAGUGAUAAGUAUCCCACCUGGGGAGUACGCACGCAAGUGUGAAACUCAAAGGAAUUGACGGGGGCCCGCACAAGCGGUGGAGCAUGUGGUCUAAUUCGAUGAUACGCGAGGAACCUUACCAGGGCUUAAAUGUAGAUUGACAGGACUGGAAACAGUUUUUUCUUCGGACAAUUUACAAGGUGCUGCAUGGUUGUCGUCAGCUCGUGCCGUGAGGUGUCAGGUUAAGUCCUAUAACGAGCGCAACCCCUGUCGUUAGUUGCCAGCGAGUCAUGUCGGGAACUCUAACGAGACUGCCAGUGUAAACUGUGAGGAAGGUGGGGAUGACGUCAAAUCGUCACGGCCCUUACGUCCUGGGCCACACACGUGCUACAAUGGUAGGUACAGAGAGCAGCCACUGCGCGAGCAGGAGCGAAUCUACAAAACCUAUCUCAGUUCGGAUCGGAGUCUGCACUCGACUCGUGAGCUGGAUCGCUAGUAUCGGAAUAUCAGCCAUGAUCCGGGUGAAUACGUUUCCCGG
This 863-nucleotide ribosomal RNA is filed under the name uncultured bacterium. Its description in RNAcentral is "bacterial SSU rRNA". It matches the Rfam family "Bacterial small subunit ribosomal RNA", at positions 505 to 1377 of the family's 1533-position model. The record is from RNAcentral.